Non-coding RNA from Homo sapiens (human), 148 nucleotides. It matches the Rfam family "Metazoan signal recognition particle RNA". From Rfam's summary of the family: The signal recognition particle (SRP) is a universally conserved ribonucleoprotein. It is involved in the co-translational targeting of proteins to membranes. Lineage: Eukaryota; Metazoa; Chordata; Mammalia; Primates; Hominidae. The record is from Rfam.
GCUGGGCGUGGUGGUGCAUGCCUGUAAUCCUAGCUACCUAGGAGGCUGAGGCAGGAGAAUUGCUUGAACCCAGGAGGCAGAGUUUGCAGUGAGCCGAGACUGUGCCACUGCAAUUCAGCCUGGGCAAAAGACCAAGACUCUGUCUCAA